CAUUACCGUGUUAGAUGCCGGGGGUACCCCCCUCGGCCUGCACACCCUUUGCGUACAUCUCUGGUUGCUUCGGCGGGUCGCAGAUUUGCUGCCGUUGCCCCUUCGAGGGUGAUGCGUACUCGCCGAUAGACUCCAAACUCUGGUUUUUGCAGUGACGUCUGAGCUAUUAUGAAAAAUGAAAUAAAACUUUCAACGAUGGAUCUCUUGGUUCCAGGAUCGAUGAAGAACGCAGCGAAAUGCGAUAAGUAAUGUGAAUUGCAGAAUUCAGUGAAUCAUCGAGUUUUUGAACGCAUAUUGCGCCCCUUGGUAUUCCGAGGGGCACGCCUGUUCGAGCGUCAUUCAGACCAUCAAGCUCCGCUUGGUAUUGGGCCAUGCACUUCUCCUCCGGGGGAGGUGGCGGCCUUGAAGACGUUGGCGGCAUAGCCCGACCCAAAGCGUGACGACCUCACAGCGGAUGGGAAGGGUGAGCCUGCUCAAUCAACCCAAAUUAUUUUUUUCAGGUUGACCUCGGAUCAGGCGGGGAUACCCGCUGAACUUAAGCAUAUCAAUAAGCGGAGGA
This 559-nucleotide ribosomal RNA is filed under the name uncultured Phellinocrescentia. RNAcentral's name for it is "eukaryotic LSU rRNA". The stretch from base 185 to 338 matches the Rfam family "5.8S ribosomal RNA". Lineage: Eukaryota; Fungi; Ascomycota; Dothideomycetes; Pleosporales. The record is from RNAcentral.